CUUCCCCCUUGCCCCUUUCUUGUUGACAGAAGGGAAGAGGUGCACUGGUUCUCUUGCUCUGUCUUGCUCAUGUGGUGGAUUUGGCCUUCUUCUGCAUCUCCAGUGCAUGCUUCAUUUCCUGGGUGGUGGUGGCCUCUUUGUGCUGCAGCAGGUCAGCGUGGCCUUUAGUGACACCCCAAGACUCAGGUGUGGACAGUGACGCACACUUGGGGCGACCAGAGGCGGGCAAGA
Long non-coding RNA from Acanthochromis polyacanthus (spiny chromis), 231 nucleotides. RefSeq lists it as uncharacterized. Lineage: Eukaryota; Metazoa; Chordata; Actinopteri; Pomacentridae. The transcript has 2 exons. The record is from RefSeq and is a predicted model, not a curated record.